UGUAACAUGUGAUGAAAGGGUGCGUGGAAGCAAAAGGCCAAUGACCCUAGUUUCUAUGGCCCAUGAGAGGAGUCAAGAAGAGGGAAAAGAGAGAAACACUCUCUCAUUUGGCAAACUCACCUUCAGACUCGUCUCUCCCUCCUUUCACUCUCAAAGAUCACAUGAAGUCGCCGCCACCACGCCGAAAAUCGCCUUCGGUAGCGGCACGGCUCAGAAUCAAACCUAACCACCACCAUUAGAUUCGUCCCACCCUCUCCUAUUCACACCCAUGCUUCAAUCACACAGGAAACUAACCCUACACAUUGAAAUCUCAGCUUAACAUUAACCCUAGAACAUUUGGAACUUAAAUUAAAUGGCUUUCACUCAUGACCUCAAGCUGCAACCAUGGGUGUUUCAUUCACACAAGUCCUCUCAACCACUUGGUAACAAAAGUGAAGCCAAGAAGAUGGAAGAGGGAGGUUUCAAUGUUUGCCUACAAGGAUGAGAAGUGCCUUGGUCAGAGCAACACGAUUAGCUGGUGAUAAUGAUAAAAGACCAGAGAGGAGGCUCUAAUGCUUAUGUCUGGUGCAGGUUUGGAUGGCUGGUGCAUUAUGAAGUCUUGGUGAUACAAGCAUGGCACUCUAUGAAAUUUUGGUCAUGGAGGCAAUAUGGUCAAGGUGAUGGAUGAAGAUGAAGAAGACUUGGAGAUUAGGUUAGAAAUAGGUCUAGAGUUAAAUCAGGGUUAGGUCAAACUUUGGUCAACUACUUGGUCAACUGUUCGACCAAAAGUCAACAAUUGACCAAAAGUCAACAGUUGACCAAAAGUCAUUUGUAGAUCAAAUAUAGAUUUUUUCAUGUACUCUUAUAGUAAUGUUGUUCUUGUAUGGAAUGUUAACUUGUAAUAAUAUUUUGGAAAUGUAAAUGUAAUGUUGACUUUCUAAUGAAGUUUCCCUCAUUUAGAAUUUGAA
Molecule: long non-coding RNA, 947 nt
Organism: Lathyrus oleraceus (garden pea)
Lineage: Eukaryota; Viridiplantae; Streptophyta; Magnoliopsida; Fabales; Fabaceae
Exons: 2
Source: RefSeq, a predicted model, not a curated record